RNAcentral lists this ribosomal RNA (221 nucleotides) under uncultured bacterium. Its description in RNAcentral is "partial 16S ribosomal RNA". It matches the Rfam family "Bacterial small subunit ribosomal RNA", at positions 129 to 334 of the family's 1533-position model. The record is from RNAcentral.
CCUCCGAAUUGGGGAUAACAUUGCGAAAGCGAUGCUAAUACCGAAUGACAUCUCAAUAACUCCGGUCUUUGAGAUCAAAGGUGGCCUCUCCAUGGAAGCUAUUGUUUGGAGAUGAGCCCGCGUACCAUUAGCUUGUUGGUAGGGUAAUGGCCUACCAAGGCAACGAUGGUUAGCUGGUCUGAGAGGAUGAUCAGCCACACUGGAACUGACACACGGUCCAG